This 87-nucleotide transfer RNA is filed under the name Gemmiger sp. Its description in RNAcentral is "tRNA-Leu". It matches the Rfam family "tRNA". Rfam says of the family: Transfer RNA (tRNA) molecules are approximately 80 nucleotides in length. Lineage: Bacteria; Bacillati; Bacillota; Clostridia; Eubacteriales; Oscillospiraceae. RNAcentral also lists the same sequence under 1 other name. The record is from RNAcentral.
GCCGGUGUGUUGGAAUUGGCAGACGAGACGGACUCAAAAUCCGUUGCCCGUGAGGGCGUAUGGGUUCGACCCCCAUCACCGGCACCA